UACAGAGGUCUCAAGCGUUGUUCGGAUUCAUUGGGCGUAAAGAGCGUGUAGGCGGUUCGGUAAGUCGGCUGUGAAAGUCCAGGGCUCAACCCUGGGAUGCCGGUCGAUACUGCCGGACUAGAGUUCGGAAGAGGCGAGUGGAAUUCCCGGUGUAGCGGUGAAAUGCGCAGAUAUCAGGAAGAACACCAAUGGCGAAAGCAGCUCUCUGGGACGGUACUGACGCUGAGACGCGAAAGCGUGGGGAGCGAACAGG
This 253-nucleotide ribosomal RNA is filed under the name uncultured bacterium. RNAcentral's name for it is "partial 16S ribosomal RNA". It matches the Rfam family "Bacterial small subunit ribosomal RNA", at positions 524 to 776 of the family's 1533-position model. The record is from RNAcentral.